Molecule: non-coding RNA, 2754 nt
Organism: Pneumocystis murina
Lineage: Eukaryota; Fungi; Ascomycota; Pneumocystomycetes; Pneumocystales; Pneumocystaceae
Source: Rfam
UAAUAGUUUAUAAAGAAGUUAAUAAGGAUAACUAGCUAGUGCAUUGGAAGGAGGUGUUGAACCUAAUUCAUGAUUAUUCAUAUGUUAUCAUGUAAUUCCGAGAAGGAAACUUUAUAGUUAAUUACGAAGUGAACUGAAACAUCUUAGUAACUUCAGGAAAAGAAAUCAACCGAGAUUUUGUUAGUAGCGGCGAGCGAAAUCAAAGUAGCCUGAGUAUUUAUUAUAGAAAAUUAUUUAUCUGAAUUCUUAUUAUGUAUUGUAUUAUUAUAUAUAUAAUAAUAAUUCAGAAUCUUAAAAAAAAAAAUUAAGAUUUAAUUCCAUUAUAAAAAGUUGGAAACCUUUUAAGAAUACUUUCUUUGUAGAAGCGAAAGAUGGUGAAAGCCCAUGAAAGAAUGGAAGUAAAUAUUAUGUAAGUAGAAUGAGUGUGAUCUUAUUCGAAGAUAGGGGAACUAUCCUCUAAGGCUAAAUAUAGUGCAUUAAGCGAUAGUGAAGAGUACCGUGAGGGAAAGUUGAAAAGAAUAUAAUCAAGGGUGGUCAACGCUCAUGAUUAGUAAAGUGAAAUAGAUCUUGAAUUAUUAACUUUAUAAGCAGCCGAAGGAUUUAAAAGUCUAACGGCGUACCUUUUGCAUAAUGGGUCAGCAAGUUAGUAUUUAAUGUAAGUAGUGAUACCUAAAGAAAUUGAUUCUUAAAAGGGAGUAAUGAAUAUUAAAUACUAGACCCGAAACCUAGUGAUCUUACUAUGAUCAGAUGUUAGAUCGAACCGGUGUACGUUGCAAAGUACUCGGAUGAAUUGUGGUAAGUAGUGAAAUACAAAUCGGACUAGGAUAUAGCUGGUUUUCUGCGAAAUCUAUUUUAGUAGAUGAUUUAUUAUUUUAUUAGUGGGUAUAGCACUGAAUAUCUCGUAAUUUGAAUUACAAGAAGGGAGUAUGAAAGUACUUACUUUGGAUAUUUAAUCUCAGAAUAACUAAUAAGAAGAUAAGAUAAAUUCUCAGACUUUUUGCGAUAAGGUGAAAAGUCGAAAGGGAAACAGCCCAGAAUAAUGAAUAAAGUUCCUCAAUUGUUACUGAGUGAAAGAAAAGAGGUUUUUCAUCUGAGACAAUCAAGAAGUGGGCUUGGAAACAGCCAUCUUAUAAUAAACACGUAAAAGUGUAAUGAUCGAAAGAGGGGAAGCGCUGAAAAUAUACGGAUCUAAGUAACAUACUGAAUUCUUAUUAUAUUCUUCUUUUCUUCUAUCCUGAAAGGAAGGGGGUAAGGAAAGAAUAUGGGUAGCAGAACAUUUAGUAAAUAGACGAAGAACAGUAUUUUAUUGUUUGGAUAUAACUAAAGAGAGAAUGCUGACAUGAGUAACGUUAAAGUAGGUGUAAAUCCUAUUCGCCGAAAACAGAAGGUUUUUAUGGUAAAGCUUAACUUCCAUAAGUUAUCUCGGUCUCUAACUGUAUCUCUAAGGAGUAAGGGAUGAGUGAAAUAUAAGAAAAAGUUUAUAACUCAAGAAAAGGUAUAUUUAAUAACCGUACCUUAAACCGACACAGGUCUGUGGAUGUAAGUGUAUUAAGGCGUAUAAGAGAAUUAUUGCGAAGGAACUCGGCAAAAAUAUUUCGUAAUUUCGAGACAAGAAGUGCCCUGAAGAGGGUGUCACUCAAAAAUGUUGUACAACUGUUUACUUAAAACACAGUACUUUGCAAAGAUGAAAAUCUUAGUAUAAAGUAUGAGAUCUGCCCAAUGCUAGGGGAUGAAAAAUUUAUUUUAAAUGAAUGAUUUAAGAUGAAUUGAAGUUCUAGUGAAUGGCGGCCUUAACUAUAAGGGUCCUAAGGUAGCGAAAUUCCUUGGCCGUUAAAUGCGGUCCCGCAUGAAUGAUUUAAUGAUACAACAACUGUCUCCGCAAUAAACUUAGUGAAAUUGGAAUAGCCGUGCAGAUACGGUUUAUGUGUAGAAAGACGGGAAGACCCUAUGCAGCUUUACUGUAGUUAAUUAUUGUUGUUUAAUCUUACAUUUGUAGUAUAGAAGGUAGUUGAUUAGACAAAAAUGAAAUACCUUUAUUGUGAGAGGUAACAACUUACUGGAUCAGGACAGUGAUUAACAGACAGUUUAUGUGGGGCGCAUGUCUCAAAAAGAGUAUCUGAGAUGUCCUAAGGUGAAGUUAAAUUGGAUGGUAACCAAUCAAGUUAUCCAGUAAUCUGGAAGAUGAAACCUUGAAAAAAGUAUAAUGGCAUAACUUUGCUUAACAGUGAGAUUGACAAAUCGAUCUGACACGUAAGUGGGGCAUAAUGAUCCUUGUAUUCAAAAUGGAAUGGUACGAGAACAACGAAUUAAAGCUACGCUAGGGAUAACAGGGUUAUUUCGUGUGAGAGAUCUUAUUGACCACGAAGUUUGCCACCUCGAUGUCGACUCAACCUAUCCUCCAGGAGUAGAAGAUUGGAAGGGUUUGGCUGUUCGCCAAUUAAAAGGUUACGUGAGUUGGGUUAAAAACGUUGUGAAACAGUUUGGUUCCUAUCUUCUAUAUAUAGUUAAAGUUAACGAAGAAUUUAUUCCUAGUACGCAAGGAUCGGAAUAUUUUAAUCUCUGGUUUCAUUGUUGUUCUCGCAUGGCAAUAAAGCUAAAUUAAAAAAGAAUAAAAUUUGAAAGCAUCUAAAAAUUGAAGUCUGUCUUCUGAAACUUUCAUAAUUCACGUUAAAGAUUAUGACGUUAAUAGGCUUUAGCUGUAAGAAUAGUAAUAUUUUAAGGUAUAAAGUACUAAUGGAAAUUUAGACUAAAAUA